CGAACGCUGGCGCGUGCCUAAUACAUGCAAGUUGAGCGCUGAAGGUUGGUACUUGUACCGACUGGAUGAGCAGCGAACGGGUGAGUAACGCGUGGGGAAUCUGCCUUUGAGCGGGGGACAACAUUUUGAAACGAAUGCUAAUACCGCAUAAAAACUUUAAACACAAGUUUUAAGUUUGAAAGAUGCAAUUGCAUCACUCAAAGAUGAUCCCGCGUUGUAUUAGCUAGUUGGUGAGGUAAAGGCUCACCAAGGCGAUGAUACAUAGCCGACCUGAGAGGGUGAUCGGCCACAUUGGGACUGAGACACGGCCCAAACUCCUACGGGAGGCAGCAGUAGGGAAUCUUCGGCAAUGGACGAAAGUCUGACCGAGCAACGCCGCGUGAGUGAAGAAGGUUUUCGGAUCGUAAAACUCUGUUGGUAGAGAAGAACGUUGGUGAGAGUGGAAAGCUCAUCAAGUGACGGUAACUACCCAGAAAGGGACGGCUAACUACGUGCCAGCAGCCGCGGUAAUACGUAGGUCCCGAGCGUUGUCCGGAUUUAUUGGGCGUAAAGCGAGCGCAGGUGGUUUAUUAAGUCUGGUGUAAAAGGCAGUGGCUCAACCAUUGUAUGCAUUGGAAACUGGUAGACUUGAGUGCAGGAGAGGAGAGUGGAAUUCCAUGUGUAGCGGUGAAAUGCGUAGAUAUAUGGAGGAACACCGGUGGCGAAAGCGGCUCUCUGGCCUGUAACUGACACUGAGGCUCGAAAGCGUGGGGAGCAAACAGGAGUAGAUACCCUGGUAGUCCACGCCGUAAACGAUGAGUGCUAGGUGUAGGGAGCUAUAAGUUCUNUUAUC
This 832-nucleotide ribosomal RNA is filed under the name Lactococcus lactis subsp. lactis. Its description in RNAcentral is "bacterial SSU rRNA". It matches the Rfam family "Bacterial small subunit ribosomal RNA", at positions 30 to 847 of the family's 1533-position model. The record is from RNAcentral. Lineage: Bacteria; Bacillati; Bacillota; Bacilli; Lactobacillales; Streptococcaceae.